CUUUCUUUCACGUGUAUGACAUCGUUGGGUCUUAGUUGUCACUCUGUUCGCAAAACUGCCACUCUCAUUGCGCAAAGGCCGACGCUAAUUGCUGAAUGCUCAUCAAAAGCAAUUUUCUGUAUCUUCUUCUUCCUGUCCUCAUCCGCCAUUUUUUCCUAAAAAAAGCUUCAACCGCAAGACUGUGUGCUGUGCUGUAGUCUGACAGAGAAGACAUUUUCGCCCUAACCAAAAGCCAUUUUAUCUUUCCAUUAACUAUUGCUGUAUUUUUCUUCUCUUCUUUCCCUUUUCCCUUUAUUCUACCUACGAUUCUGAUCGAAUCUUUGCCGACGGAGACGCGUGUCAUUUCUUUGCCUCGUCGAUCGAGCCGAACGCCGGACGGAGGAUUUGGUUACCCUGUAAAUUUCGUGAUUUGAUGAAAAAUGAUGAUCAGAAAUCUGGUGGCCUUGUUGCUCUUUGUCACGGUUAUUGCUCCGAUUGUGCUCUACACUGAUCGCCUCGCCACCGUCAAGUUAUCCUCUAAAGGCGAUCUUGUUGAAGGUUUUGCGACUUCUGGUUUCAAUAGCAACUAUGGGCAUCUGAAUCUUGUUGAUGGGAAAUCUUCAUCAAGCGUAAAAGAGCCUGUCGCGAUUAUUUACUCCGACAACGAGUUGCUUCCAGAUUCCGCUGCUUCGGUUUGGCAGAGCAAUGGCGGCGUCCAAGGAGUAAUAGAGCGUAAAUCUACUCGAGUAUUGUCCACAACUGAUGAGGAAGGUCGUUCUCAAAACGAGAAUCCCAUCAAACAGGUUACGGACCCCAUUGGGCUGCCAAAUAUCAUUUCAGGGAAUCCCAAUAGUACCAGUGAAAAGAACAGCAAAGUGGAUCCUAACACUCAAACUUCUGAAAAAGCUGAUGGGGGAGAAAUAGUAAGAUCAAGAUUUGAACACAACAAUGUUCAAGCUGCUCUUCCUAAUGCUCGGGUAAGACAUCUUAAGGAUCAGCUCAUAAGGGCCAAAGUUUACCUCUCGCUUCCAGGCACUAGGAACAAUCCCCACCUUACAAGAGAACUUCGACUGAGGAUAAAAGAAGUUCAACGAACAUUAGGUGAUGCAAGCAAGGAUUCUGAGCUACCUAAAAAUGCCCUUGAGAGAUUGAAGACAAUGGAGCAAACUCUUGCAAAAGGGAAACAAACUCAGGAUGACUGUGCUACUGUGGUAAAGAAACUGCGAGCGAUGCUUCACUCAACUGAAGAGCAGUUACGAGUGCACAAGAAGCAAACCUUGUUUUUGACGCAGUUAACAGCAAAAACACUUCCUAAAGGCCUUCAUUGCCUUCCCUUGCGCCUGACAACCGAAUACUAUUCUCUGAAUUGGUCCCAACAGGAUUUCCCAGGUCAAGAGAAACUAGAAGAUCCAGACCUAUAUCAUUAUGCGUUAUUCUCUGAUAAUGUAUUGGCAGCAGCAGUAGUUGUUAACUCAACAAUUACUCAUGCAGAGGAGCCUUCAAAACAUGUUUUUCACAUUAUUACAGAUAGACUUAAUUAUGCAGCAAUGAGGAUGUGGUUUCAGGCAAAUCCACCUGACAAAGCUACGAUCGAGAUUCAGAAUAUUGAAGAAUUUACAUGGUUAAACGCCAGUUAUAGUCCAGUACUGAAGCAGUUGGGUUCUUCAUCUAUGAUAGAUUAUUACUUCCGAGCUCAUCGGGCUAGCUCUGAUUCAAAUAUGAAGUUCCGGAAUCCGAAGUACCUGUCCAUCUUAAACCAUCUACGGUUUUACCUCCCACAAUUAUUCCCGAAGCUCAAAAAGGUUUUGUUCCUGGAUGAUGAUAUAGUAGUGCAGAAAGAUCUCACGAGACUUUGGCUCAUUGAUUUGAAGGGAAAUGUUAAUGGUGCUGUAGAGACUUGUGGAGAAAACUUUCAUCGGUUUGAUAGAUAUCUCAAUUUCUCAAACCCUCUCAUCUCAAAAAAUUUUGAUCCUCAUGCCUGUGGUUGGGCAUUUGGCAUGAAUAUCUUUGAUUUGGAUGAAUGGAGGAGGCAGAAUAUUACAGAGGUGUACCACUCCUGGCAGAAGCUGAAUUAUGACAGGCAAUUGUGGAAGCUGGGAACGUUACCACCAGGUCUCAUCACAUUUUGGAAGCGCACUUAUCAGCUCGACAAAUCCUGGCAUGUUUUAGGCCUUGGAUACAAUCCUAAUGUUGCGCAGAAGGAAAUUGAACGAGCUGCCGUCAUACACUAUAAUGGGAACAUGAAGCCAUGGCUUGAGAUAGCCAUACCCAAGUAUCGAAAUUAUUGGGCAAAGCAUGUUGAUUUUGACAAUGUAUAUCUAAGAGAAUGCAACAUUAAUCCUUGAAUGGUCCUUUUGGACUUCGAAGUUUCCUUCAUGAUUUCAACAUCCACAAUAGUUUUCCAGCUCCAUAACCUCUUUGAAACAGACGGGGUUGGAUGGGUUAAAUUCAUGGGCAAUAGACCAAAAAACAAGGCAAAACCCCGAGGUAUUAUUGUCUUUAUGUGCUUACGUAAAUAUAAUUAAACCUCCUGUUAAAGCUAACUUCUUUGUAGCUCAACUGGUUAAAGUGUAUGUAUGCUCUCGACCUAGAUGUUAAAGGUUUGAAUUCCUCAUAACAAAUGUUGCAUUGAACUCAAAUUAGAACUUUUAUCAAAAGUUGAUAUCAUCUCUGUGAACUUAUGCGAUUAAUUUGUAUUAAUUGAUUUAUUCAUCUUGGAUU
Molecule: RNA transcript, 2700 nt
Organism: Benincasa hispida (wax gourd)
Lineage: Eukaryota; Viridiplantae; Streptophyta; Magnoliopsida; Cucurbitales; Cucurbitaceae
Gene name: putative galacturonosyltransferase 4
Source: RefSeq, a predicted model, not a curated record